Molecule: unclassified non-coding RNA, 223 nt
Filed under: plant metagenome
Description: partial contains small subunit ribosomal RNA, internal transcribed spacer 1, and 5.8S ribosomal RNA
Source: RNAcentral
UUUCCGUAGGUGAACCUGCGGAAGGAUCAUUAAAGAGAAUAUGCCUUUCGGAGUAGAUCUCUCACCCUUUGUUUAUAUUACCUUUGUUGCUUUGGAAGACCCGUCUUCGGACCACCGGCUUCGGCUGGUCAGUGCUUGCCAGAGGACCCAAAACCCUUAUUAUUAAUCUCGUCUGAGUACUAUAUAAUAGUUAAAACUUUCAACAACGGAUCUCUUGGUUCUG